RNAcentral lists this ribosomal RNA (496 nucleotides) under uncultured bacterium. RNAcentral's name for it is "partial 16S ribosomal RNA". It matches the Rfam family "Bacterial small subunit ribosomal RNA", at positions 29 to 507 of the family's 1533-position model. The record is from RNAcentral.
AUGAACGCUGGCGGCUUGCCUAAUCCCUGCAAGUCGAGCGAACGGACGAGAAGCUUGCUUUUCUGAUGUUAGCGGCGGACGGGUGAGUAACACGUGGAUAACCUACCUAUAAGACUGGGAUAACUUCGGGAAACCGGAGCUAAUACCGGAUAAUAUUUUGAACCGCAUGGUUCAAAAGUGAAAGACGGUCUUGCUGUCACUUAUAGAUGGAUCCGCGCUGCAUUAGCUAGUUGGUAAGGUAACGGCUUACCAAGGCAACGAUGCAUAGCCGACCUGAGAGGGUGAUCGGCCACACUGGAACUGAGACACGGUCCAGACUCCUACGGGAGGCAGCAGUAGGGAAUCUUCCGCAAUGGGCGAAAGCCUGACGGAGCAACGCCGCGUGAGUGAUGAAGGUCUUCGGAUCGUAAAACUCUGUUAUUAGGGAAGAACAUAUGUGUAAGUAACUGUGCACAUCUUGACGGUACCUAAUCAGAAAGCCACGGCUAACUACGUG